GAUGAACGCUGGCGGCGUGCCUAAUACAUGCAAGUCGAGCGAACGGACGAGAAGCUUGCUUCUCUGAUGUUAGCGGCGGACGGGUGAGUAAAACGUGGAUAACCUACCUAUAAGACUGGGAUAACUUCGGGAAACCGGAGCUAAUACCGGAUAAUAUUUUGAACCGCAUGGUUCAAAAGUGAAAGACGGUCUUGCUGUCACUUAUAGAUGGAUCCGCGCUGCAUUAGCUAGUUGGUAAGGUAACGGCUUACCAAGGCAACGAUGCAUAGCCGACCUGAGAGGGUGAUCGGCCACACUGGAACUGAGACACGGUCCAGACUCCUACGGGAGGCAGCAGUAGGGAAUCUUCCGCAAUGGGCGAAAGCCUGACGGAGCAACGCCGCGUGAGUGAUGAAGGUCUUCGGAUCGUAAAACUCUGUUAUUAGGGAAGAACAUAUGUGUAAGUAACUGUGCACAUCUCGACGGUACCUAAUCAGAAAGCCACGGCUAACUACGUG
RNAcentral lists this ribosomal RNA (497 nucleotides) under uncultured bacterium. Its description in RNAcentral is "partial 16S ribosomal RNA". It matches the Rfam family "Bacterial small subunit ribosomal RNA", at positions 28 to 507 of the family's 1533-position model. The record is from RNAcentral.